GUGGGGAAUUUUGGACAAUGGGGGCAACCCUGAUCCAGCAAUGCCGCGUGCAGGAAGAAGGCCUUCGGGUUGUAAACUGCUUUUGUACGGAACGAAACGGUCUGGGUUAAUACCCUGGGCUAAUGACGGUACCGUAAGAAUAAGCACCGGCUAACUACGUGCCAGCAGCCGCGGUAAUACGUAGGGUGCGAGCGUUAAUCGGAAUUACUGGGCGUAAAGCGUGCGCAGGCGGUUUUGUAAGACAGGCGUGAAAUCCCCGGGCGCAACGUGGGAAUGGCGCUUGUGACUGCAAAGCUGGAGUGCGGCAGAGGGGGAUGGAAUUCCGCGUGUAGCAGUGAAAUGCGUAGAUAUGCGGAGGAACACCGAUGGCGAAGGCAAUCCCCUGGGCCUGCACUGACGCUCAUGCACGAAAGCGUGGGGAGCAAACAGGAUUAGAUACCCGGGUAGUCC
This 450-nucleotide ribosomal RNA is filed under the name uncultured bacterium. Its description in RNAcentral is "partial 16S ribosomal RNA". It matches the Rfam family "Bacterial small subunit ribosomal RNA", at positions 354 to 796 of the family's 1533-position model. The record is from RNAcentral.